RNAcentral lists this ribosomal RNA (433 nucleotides) under uncultured bacterium. RNAcentral's name for it is "partial 16S ribosomal RNA". It matches the Rfam family "Bacterial small subunit ribosomal RNA", at positions 29 to 507 of the family's 1533-position model. The record is from RNAcentral.
AACGAACGCUGGCGGCAUGCCUAACACAUGCAAGUCGAACGAUACCUCCGGGUCUAGUGGCGCACGGGUGCGUAACGCGUGGGAACCUUCCCUUAGGUUCGGAAUACCUCCCCGAAAGGGGUGCUAUUACCGGAUAAUGUCUUCUAACCAAUGAUUUAUCUCCUUUGGAUGUGGGAGCGUUGGAUUAGCUAGUUGGUAGGGUAAAAGCCUACCAAGGCGACGAUCCAUAGCUGGUCUGAGAGGAUGAUCAGCCACACUGGGACUGAGACACGGACGAGACUCCUACGAGAGGGAGCAGUGGGGAAUAUUGGACGAUGGGCGAAAGAAUGAUCGAGCAAUGCCGCGUAAGUGAUGAAGGACUGAGGGAUGUAAAGCUCUUUUGAACGGGAAGAUAGUGACGGUACCGGGAGAAUAAGCUACGGCUAACUACGUG